This is an RNA transcript of Pyrus x bretschneideri (Chinese white pear), 5009 nucleotides long. It is a transcript of the gene named DEAD-box ATP-dependent RNA helicase 42, with no coding region annotated. NCBI's taxonomy places the organism in Eukaryota, Viridiplantae, Streptophyta, Magnoliopsida, Rosales, Rosaceae. The transcript has 4 exons. The record is from RefSeq and is a predicted model, not a curated record.
CUCACUCAUUUUGAGACUCCGCGUCCUACCUCUCUUCUCGACUCGAACCUUCUCAGCUCUCUCGAUUCCUCUUCUCCUCCGCCCACCUUCUCCGAAUCUCGACUGUGGCCAGCACCACACCUCUCGACCACACCACAGAAAAACCACACACACACCUACCGCUAUAUCUCUCUCCGAUUCUCUUUCUUUCGAUCGAGCGACUCUCUAGCCCAAGAAGGGAGCAAUGGAAGAGGUCAAACAUAAACCUAGGAAGGAGGGGGAAUCCAAGAGGAGUCAUCGAGAUCGGGAUCGUGAAAAGGAGAGAAAUGGAGAGAGGCACAGGGAUAAAGAUAAGAGAGACCGUGAUAGUCGGCGCUAUGAGAGAGAAAAGAGUUCUGAUUCUGAGGAGAGGUACGAUAGGGAGAAGCAUGGAGACAGGGAUAGUGAUAGGAAGCGCAACCGAGAUGAUGAAAGAGAGAGAACAAGAGACAAAAAGAGGGAUAAAGAUAAGGAGAGGGACAAAGACAAAGAAAAGGAGAAGAGAGAUAGGACUAGAGAGAAGGAAAAGGAAAGGGAAAAAGAAAGGCAAAGAGAAAAAGAAAGAGAAAGGGAAAAAGAACGACAAAGAGAAAAGGAGAGAGAAAAAGAAAAAGAACAUGAAAGAGAAAGAGAAAGAGAAAGAGAAAAAGAAAAAGAACGAGAAAGAGAGAGGGAGAGAAGGGAACGAGAAAGAGAGGUAGAAGAUAAGAGGGAGCGAGAGAGGGAGAGGGAAAAAGAUAGAGAUCGGGAGCGGAGGGUGCGGGAGAGGGAGAGGCGUAGGGACAUUGAUGCUGAUGAUAUUGAUGAUGAUGGUAGGGAGCGUGAUAGGAAGCGACCUAGGAAAGAUAACAAUGACUACAAGGAGAGAGAGAGGGAAAGGAGUAGCAGCAGGUCAAACAGACAUAGGGAUGAUGGAGAUGGGAGCCCCAGAAAGAAGUCUGAUGAAGGUGAUUCCUCUAAGGAAGAACAACCAACCCGUGAGGAGGAGAUGGAGGAUGAACAACGGAAAUUGGAUGAUGAAAUGGAAAAGCGGAGAAGGAGAGUUCAGGAGUGGCAAGAGUUAAAAAGAAAGAAGGAAGAAACUGAGAGAGAGAAGAAUGGGGAAGGGGAUGCUGAUGAACCUAAGUCAGGAAAGGCCUGGACUCUUGAAGAAGAAUCUGAUGAUGAAGAAGUACCUUCCUUAGAGAAAUCAGAGACAUGUAUAGAUGUUGAUGAAGAAGACGAUACUGACAGAAAAGUUGGAGAUGCUGUGGCGGUAGUUUCUGAAGAUGAAACAGCUGCACCCGCGUUGCACAAUGGGGCUGAUGAUGCUGCUGAUGAUGAGGAAGUUGAUCCUUUAGAUGCUUUUAUGAAUUCUAUGGUAUUGCCUGAAGUUGAGAAGCUGACCAAUGCAGUUGAACCGUCAAUUGUUGAUGAAAAGAACAAGGAUAAGAAGGAUGGUCGAAACAAUGGUGAACAACCAAGGAGAGGUUCAAAUAAAUCUAUGGGCAGAAUAAUUCCUGGGGAGGAUUCUGACUCAGAUUAUGGGGACUUGGAGAAUGAUGAUGAUCCAGUAGAAGAUGAAGGUGAUGAUGAGUUCAUAAAAAGGGUGAAAAAGACAAAAGCUGAGAAGCUUGCUGUAGUUGAUCACUCAAAGAUAGAUUAUGAUCCAUUUCGUAAAAAUUUCUAUAUUGAAGUGAAGGAGAUCUCAAGAAUGACCCCAGAAGAGGUGGGGGUGUAUCGGAAACAAUUGGAAUUGAAGAUCCAUGGUAAAGAUGUGCCCAAGCCCAUCAAGACCUGGCACCAAACUGGACUUACAAGUAAAAUCUUGGAAACAAUAAAAAAGCUUAACUAUGAAAAGCCAAUGCCAAUUCAGGCUCAGGCAGUGCCUAUAAUUAUGAGUGGUCGAGACUGCAUUGGCAUUGCAAAGACUGGGUCAGGCAAAACCCUUGCAUUUGUGCUGCCAAUGCUGAGGCAUAUCAAGGACCAGCCACCUGUGGUAGCUGGAGAUGGGCCUAUUGGGCUUAUAAUGGCACCAACGAGGGAGCUUGUUCAGCAAAUUCACAGUGAUAUUAAAAAGUUUACAAAGGUACUUGGUCUCAGGUGUGUGCCUGUAUACGGAGGUUCUGGUGUUGCCCAACAGAUUAGUGAAUUGAAGCGGGGGGCCGAAAUUGUCGUCUGUACCCCUGGUAGGAUGAUUGACAUACUGUGCACAAGUGGGGGGAAAAUAACAAAUCUGCGUAGAGUUACUUAUUUGGUUGUGGAUGAAGCUGAUCGAAUGUUUGACAUGGGCUUUGAACCACAGAUCACCCGAAUUGUACAAAAUAUCCGGCCUGAUCGUCAAACUGUUUUGUUUUCUGCCACCUUCCCUCGCCAGGUUGAAGUCUUGGCACGCAAAGUCUUAAACAGACCUGUGGAAAUACAAGUUGGUGGAAGGAGUGUUGUGAAUAAGGACAUAACACAAUUAGUUGAAGUGAGGAUGGAAAAUGAAAGGUUCUUGAGAUUGUUAGAGUUGCUUGGGGAAUGGUAUGAGAAAGGAAAAAUUUUGAUAUUUGUUGAGUCGCAGAACAAAUGCGAUGCGUUGUUCAGGGAUCUGCUUAGGCAUGGGUAUCCUUGUCUCUCACUUCAUGGGGGCAAAGAUCAGACAGAUCGUGAGUCCACGAUAACUGACUUUAAGAGCAAUGUUUGUAAUUUGUUGGUUGCAACAAGUGUUGCUGCCAGAGGGUUAGAUGUGAAGGAGCUUGAACUGGUAAUCAAUUAUGAUAGUCCGAAUCACUAUGAAGACUAUGUUCACCGUGUUGGCCGAACAGGGCGAGCUGGCCGGAAAGGUUGUGCUAUAACUUUUAUCUCUGGGGAAGAUGCUAGAUAUGCUCCGGAUCUUGUCAAAGCGUUGGAACUCUCUGAGCAAGUUGUUCCAGAUGACCUAAAGUCUCUUGCUGAUAAUUUCACGGCAAAAGUAAAUCAGGGACUUGAGCAAGCUCAUGGGACUGGUUAUGGGGGAAGUGGUUUCAAAUUUAAUGAAGAGGAAGAUGAAGUGAGGAGAGCAGCAAAGAAAGCACAGGCCAAGGAAUAUGGUUUUGAGGAGGACAAGUCAGAUUCAGAAGAUGAAGAUGAUGGUAUUCGAAAGGCAGGGGGCGACAUCUCACAGCAGGCUGCCCUUGCUCAGAUAGCUGCCAUUGCUGCUGCCUCCAAAGCUAGUACAGCUUCAAUGCAGACCCCUGCCUCUGCUGCCCAACUACUUCCAAGCAGUGGACUGCCUGUUUCUCUUCCAGGUGUCCUUGGUCUAGCGUUGCCAGGAACAGCAGCAGUUGCGGCUGGGACUGGUCUGCCUCUUGUGGGCAAUGAUGGGGCUGCUCGGGCAGCAGCAAUUGCAGCUGCAAUGAACUUGCAGCAUAACUUGGCAAAGAUUCAAGCUGAUGCAAUGCCUGAACACUAUGAAGCAGAAUUGGAGAUAAAUGAUUUUCCCCAGAAUGCUCGAUGGAAGGUUACCCACAAGGAAACUUUGGGCCCUAUAUCAGAGUGGACUGGGGCUGCCAUUACUACCAGGGGUCAGUAUUUCCCACCAGGCAAGGUUACAGGACCAGGAGAUCGCAAGCUCUACCUGUUUAUCGAGGGCCCUACUGAACAAUCUGUCAAGAGAGCUAAGACAGAAUUAAAACGUGUUUUGGAAGAUAUCUCAAAUCAGGCAGUAUCGCUUCCUGGUGGAGCUCAGCAAGGCAGAUAUCAAGUUUUAUAAGUGUGAGAACUCAACCCCAACUUACUGUAGGCAUUCUGUUAUCUGCUUUUGCCGAAGUUAAUUUGAUUUCUUGUUCCUUGCAAAAUGUUUCUCGGUUGUCUAAUGAGGUCCAUAUGUCAUGGUUAUGGUUAACUGAUUGUGUUGAACAUGCCUUAAAUGUUCAACUUGUACUAUAAGCCUACUUUAUUAGCCACAAGUGAAAUUUCAUUAGUCUUUUCUUGAAUACUAGAUAAGCUUCAUUUACACAUGUCAUCUAGGAAGUCAUACCCUCGGAUUAAAUGUUUGUGGAUUGUACUUGCUUUGCGCAAUUUUGGACCCCUUUUAAUUUUCUUUUCUUUCUUUUGUUUACCAUUUCCAUUGCGCGAGGGGUGUAAUGCAUAUGCUCGCAUGUUCAAUAGUGUCUCUGCCCAUUUCAAAGCUGUCCAAGAGAUGAGACCGUGGUUUUGUUUGGAAAUUGCUGGGGACAACUGGUGAGACUUCCUUAAGGUAGCGCUGGAUAACAUCUUAAAGGAUGCGUUUCUAGUAAGAUGGUCAUUAUUAUUGUUCUGCAUCCUUUCUGUACUGUUGAAAGGUGGCAUUUAAUUUGGUUCGAUCAGCAUCAGCUGUCCUCAAAAUUGAUUAAGCUUUCGGUGUUGGUGUUUGCUAUAAUGGGUUACUGAGCUCCUUGCUGAGAUCACUAGUCUUGUGCCCUUUGCUUUGUUGCAGUGUCUGUAGUGCAGACUGCCUUUGAAUUUGGUCCUAUACUUCUUCAUUGUCACGUUCAUUUAAUUUGAUGGGAAUAUGUUUUAAUCAUCCAAAGUGGUGGCUUUGGUUUUGCUUUCUACUUGGGCCAUCAAAAGAAGAAAAUACAUGGAAGUGAUCAUUCCUUAUAAUCCAGCGAUACUUGUAGCGAGCGCUUUCAGUUGAUUCCACCACUUCCAUGGGUAUAAAAUCUCAUUGAAAGCGGGGCUCUUCCGUUUGGAGAGCGGUCCUUACCCUAACAGCUACUUUGGUAGGUUGGAUGGAUGGAUGGAUGGAUGAUGGGAUAGGUGGUUAGGAUUAGAAUAAGCCUAGGAAAUGCGUUAUUGCUGAUAAUGGUAUACAUGCAUGCAGUUUUUUGGCACUUGCUUGAGAGUUGGUACGGUAGCAGAAACCAGUAGGGAUAUUUUACAAGAUUUUUUCUUUUUGCGUCCUCAGUCGUUUGUAUUUGGCAAAUUUGAUUGCUGAAUAUAACGCCGCCGACAGAGCAUUCUGUCUAAUUAUCUAUCUGUUCAAAUGAUUACUCUGGUUUUUCGUC